CUUAAAGGAAUUGACGGGGGCCCGCACAAGCGGAGGAACAUGUGGUUUAAUUCGAUGAUACGCGAGGAACCUUACCUGGGCUUAAAUGUAGUUCGACAGAUUGUGAAAGCAGUCCUUCUUCGGACGAAUUACAAGGUGCUGCAUGGUUGUCGUCAGCUCGUGCCGUGAGGUGUCGGGUUAAGUCCCAUAACGAGCGCAACCCUUAUCGUUAGUUGCCAGCGGGUCAAGCCGGGGACUCUAGCGAGACUGCCACCGUAAGGUGAGAGGAAGGUGGGGAUGACGUCAAAUCAGCACGGCCCUUAUGUCCAGGGCUACACACGUGUUACAAUGGCCAGUACAAAGGGCAGCUACCAGGCGACUGGAUGCUAAUCUCUAAAGCUGGUCUCAGUUCGGAUCGAAGUCUGCAACCCGACUUCGUGAAGCUGGAUUCGCUAGUAAUCGCGCAUCAGCCAUGGCGCGGUGAAUACGUUCCCGGCCCUUGUACACACCGCCCGUCAAACAAUGGAA
This 507-nucleotide ribosomal RNA is filed under the name uncultured Cytophagales Kmlps6-14. RNAcentral's name for it is "bacterial SSU rRNA". It matches the Rfam family "Bacterial small subunit ribosomal RNA", at positions 900 to 1409 of the family's 1533-position model. The record is from RNAcentral. Lineage: Bacteria; Pseudomonadati; Bacteroidota; Sphingobacteriia; Sphingobacteriales.